GCUCUGGUGGCCUAGUGGUUAGAACGUCCGCCUCAAAUGCAGGGGGUCGUGGGUUCGAUGGUCGUGAGUUCUAUUCCCGGUCGAUUCAUUCCGGAGACU
Non-coding RNA from Potamilus streckersoni, 99 nucleotides. The record is from the annotation of a GenBank genome assembly. NCBI's taxonomy places the organism in Eukaryota, Metazoa, Mollusca, Bivalvia, Unionida, Unionidae.